GACGAACGCUGGCGGCGUGCCUAAUACAUGCAAGUUGAGCGCUGAAGGUUGGUACUUGUACCAACUGGAUGAGCAGCGAACGGGUGAGUAACGCGUGGGGAAUCUGCCUUUGAGCGGGGGACAACAUUUGGAAACGAAUGCUAAUACCGCAUAAAAACUUUAAACACAAGUUUUAAGUUUGAAAGAUGCAAUUGCAUCACUCAAAGAUGAUCCCGCGUUGUAUUAGUUAGUUGGUGAGGUAAAGGCUCACCAAGGCGAUGAUACAUAGCCGACCUGAGAGGGUGAUAGGCCACAUUGGGACUGAGACAAGGCCCAAACUCCUACGGGAGGCAGCAGUAGGGAAUCUUCGGCAAUGGACGAAAGUCUGACCGAGCAACGCCGCGUGAGUGAAGAAGGGUUUCGGAUCGUAAAACUCUGUUGGUAGAGAAGAACGUUGGUGAGAGUGGAAAGCUCAUCAAGUGACGGUAACUACACAGAAAGGGACGGCUAACUACGUG
RNAcentral lists this ribosomal RNA (497 nucleotides) under uncultured bacterium. Its description in RNAcentral is "partial 16S ribosomal RNA". It matches the Rfam family "Bacterial small subunit ribosomal RNA", at positions 28 to 507 of the family's 1533-position model. The record is from RNAcentral.